ACUUUUAAAGGAUAAUAGUAAUCCGUUGG
Molecule: transfer RNA, 29 nt
Filed under: Pleurodeles waltl (Iberian ribbed newt)
Lineage: Eukaryota; Metazoa; Chordata; Amphibia; Caudata; Salamandridae
Description: partial tRNA-Leu
Source: RNAcentral